GAUUUUGUAGUGUAGUUGGUUAUAUCACUAGUUUAACACACCGGCGGUUCCAGGUUCGAGCCAGGCUGAAAUCU
Non-coding RNA from Tuber borchii (whitish truffle), 74 nucleotides. The record is from the annotation of a GenBank genome assembly. NCBI's taxonomy places the organism in Eukaryota, Fungi, Ascomycota, Pezizomycetes, Pezizales, Tuberaceae.